RNAcentral lists this transfer RNA (73 nucleotides) under Paramuricea clavata. It matches the Rfam family "tRNA". Rfam says of the family: Transfer RNA (tRNA) molecules are approximately 80 nucleotides in length. Their secondary structure includes four short double-helical elements and three loops (D, anti-codon, and T loops). Further hydrogen bonds mediate the characteristic L-shaped molecular structure. tRNAs have two regions of fundamental functional importance: the anti-codon, which is responsible for specific mRNA codon recognition, and the 3' end, to which the tRNAs corresponding amino acid is attached (by aminoacyl-tRNA synthetases). tRNAs cope with the degeneracy of the genetic code in two manners: having more than one tRNA (with a specific anti-codon) for a particular amino acid; and 'wobble' base-pairing, i.e. permitting non-standard base-pairing at the 3rd anti-codon position. Lineage: Eukaryota; Metazoa; Cnidaria; Anthozoa; Malacalcyonacea; Plexauridae. The record is from Rfam by way of RNAcentral.
GACCGCGUAGCUCAGUUGGCAGAGCAUUGGGCUAGUCUUCGAAAGGUCGUAGGUUCGAUUCCCACCGUGGUCA